This is a long non-coding RNA of Callithrix jacchus (white-tufted-ear marmoset), 1588 nucleotides long. The record is from Ensembl. NCBI's taxonomy places the organism in Eukaryota, Metazoa, Chordata, Mammalia, Primates, Cebidae.
GUGAGAUUAUGUCCAGGCCUGUCUCCUUUCAGUUCUUCUUUCUUUAGAAUGAAUUUUCAUGUCUGCAUUUUUUUUUUGUCCAGAAUGAUUGUGAACAACACUUAAUCACUGGAAUAGUCCAAAAUUCCCUUUUUGAGUCACUUCUCCUUGUCCUUUUCUUGACUUAUUCUUCUUGUCUCUAAAGCCCCUGAUCUUAGAAACAAACACUUCUCUUCAGUUGAUAUCCCAUUGAGUGCUAUAGUCUUUGCAGUAUUGAAAUAGAGAAAACCAUGUACCUAGGCUUCCAGAGUUUGCAGCAGGUUCUUAGUAAACAUGCAGGCCAAUAAGAAAAAACAAGCAGAAUUUCAAUUUCCUGACAAAUCUUUGACUAAUAAGGGUUUCUCAUAUCUCCAGGUUACAUCAAGCUGACUCAUGAGAGACAUUCGGAGCACCCUCAAGAGUCUCCACAAGGCUUUGCUUACUGUAUUAAUCAGGGUUCCCUAGAGGAACAGAACUGCUAGGAUAGAUGUAUAUAUGAAAGGGAGUUUAUUAAAGGAGAAUUGACUCACAUGUUCACAAGGUGAAGUCCCAUGAUAGGUCAUCUGCAAGCUGAGGAGCAAGAAAGCCAGUGGAGCAAGAAAGUCAGAGCCCCAAAAUCUCAAGUCAGGAAGCUGACUGUGCACUUUCAGUCUGUGGCCAAAGGCCCAAGAGCCCCCAGCAAACCACUGCUGUAAAUCCAAGAGUCCAAAUGCUGAAGAACCUGGAAUCUGAUGUUUGAGGGCAGGAAGCAUCUGGCAUGAGAGAAAGAUGAAGGCUGGAAGACUCAGCAAACCUGCUCUUCCAUCUUCUGCUGCUCUAUUCUAUUCACGCUGGCAGCUGAUUAGAUGCUGCCCACCCAGAUUGAGGAUGCUGCUUUAUGAGUGCCUGAGACCUGAGCCACAGCAUCUGUCAACCAUGUCACCAUGAGCCUGGGGAGACGAUGCCAACUACUAAGGCAGGAAAGAGAUCAUGGAUCAUGAAUGGUGUCAUUGAGCCAUCCCAGAAGUCACAGACUUGAAGGUCAUUUGUUAUGUAAAAUAAUUAUCCUGUUUGUUUAUUUGUUUACAGACUUUGUUAACUUCCACCACACAAGGUAUACUUUGGAGGCUGAAGUGCAAGAAAUGUGAAAUUCAACUCUUUCACAUGAAAAAAAGAAACCCACACUGGAAGCAGUUCAUGAUAUAGGACACAUCCAAAACUCUACAGAAGAAUGUCCCAUGUGCCCAAUUAAAACAUCUUAUUUGAUUAGCCUAUUUUUAGGAAAAUAUAAUACACAGAAUGAAUUCCAUAUAAAACUGUUUUGAAAUUUCCUAGAAUGUUUUUGCUAGAUUCUAAAGGAAAAAAAUCUUAAUAUGAGUUUAUGUAACCUGCCUCACUCAAGAGGACAUGAAUAACCUUCUCUUGUUUAAAGACUCUUACUUUCUAUGUACAUCCAUUGUUCAUCUAUUCUUUCAAGCCAUAAAUUCUUUUAAAAGAUAGAAGUUUUGCUUUGUUUUAUUCUUUGAUUUUGUCUCCAAUAUUAUUAGAAAUCCUAUCAGAAACUAUUGCUUGAAUUUUUACAAAAAUAAAU